GAAUUCUUAUAAUGCUAGGGUUUGGACAAUCCCCAUUUCAACUUUCUGUAAAAGUAAACAUGAUGCAUCACGAAAGGCUAGUACUAGUGCAAUGCCAGAAGCUAGGGAUGGGACACAAUGAAAAGAAGAAAUUGUUUUGUGAAAUUUUUAAGGAAGCUAUGUUCCCUGAUGGUUGUGCAUCUGAUAUACGCUGGAAUGUCCUUGUGAAGCAGAAAAAGAUCGUUCGGCUGAAGAGCCAUGACAAUCACAUUCUUUUGCAGCAAUUGCUUCCAGUAGAUGUUCGGAACACAUUGCCAAAGGAAGUCGGUAUUGCCUUGGUUCGUGUCAGCAGAUUCUUCAAGCAAAUAUAUUCUCCUGUCAUUAGCAUAAGUGACAUGGAGAAGCUAGAGGGAGAAAUAGCUGAGACCUUGAGCAUUCUUGAAGCCAUAUUUCUGCCAUCAUUUUUUGAAUUUAUGGUUCACUUGAUGAUUUAUCUUCCAACCCAAGUGAGGCUCGGGGUUCCAAUAAAGUACAGCAGCAUGUACCCAGUAGAAAGGUCAUCCCUAUAAACCUAUUUUCUUGGUAUCAUAUGGUUUCUUGCUUGCCCCAAAAUAAUAUGAUAUAUCCUAUGUAUAUACUAUAUAGGUAUAAUAUGAAGCUAAAGGGGUUUGUACAUACCAAGAACCACCCCGAGGGGUCAAUUGCAGAGGGCUAUGUGUUUGAUGAAAGCUUUACAUUCUGCUCUCGUUAUUUACAUGGAUGUGAGACUAGAUUUAAUAGAAAAUGCUGAAAUGACACCCUUGAGACCAAUGUAUCUACUAUGCCAUUUUUUAUCAACAAGGGUCGAUUUUUGGCUGGAAAGCAUAUAGUGACCUUAGAUCACAAGUCAUGGCUGCAAGCACAUCGAUGUGUUUUGUUUAAUUAUGAUAACAUAGAUUCAUAUUUCAGGUAUUUUAUUUCUAAGAUUUUCUUUCAUUUGAGCCUAUGAACAAUAUUUUUCAUAUUGCUGAAUUUGCAUACUUAACUCCUGCAGCAAGUAUGAUGCCUAUUUAACUUCGAUUGGCCACGGGAAUAAGUUAGAGAUUACUGGCAUUCGCCAUGAGAAAUUCAAUGAGUGGUUUAAGCUCCAUGUGGCACAACUAAUUGCGAAUGGUGAAGAUAUUUCUGAAGAGAUUCAAACUUUAGCUAACGAGCCCUUUUAACUGCAGGGAAGCGUAAUAGCUAUACCAUAGACGGGUACAAUUUCCACACAAAUUCAUAUGAUCAGGGUAGACCUACCCAAAGCAGCGGGGUUGCUCUUGUAUCUCAGAUUUUGUCUUCCACAAGUGAAGAUAAUGAAAAUCUUAUGGUUAGGAAAAAUAUAUUAUAGUGUGAUAACUGAAAUCCUUUAGUUAAAUUUUAACAACAAAGGAAGUAUUGUGCUUUUAAAAUGUGAUUGGGUUGACAACAGUGCACAAGACAAGUGGGUUCAAGUCAAUGAUCUUGGUGUCACACGUGUGAACUUCAAGCAUUUACUCAAGUCUGAUGAUCCUUUCAUUUUGGCAUCCCAUGCAACCCAAGGGUACUAUGUGCAAGAUAAGCUUGAUAAAGAUUGGUAUUCUGUUAGAAGCUUUCCUCAUCCACGAGACCUGUAUGAUAUGUUUGGAGUGGGAGAUGAAGAUUUUGACCACCAUGAUGCACCUACUGUGUCAAUUGCUGAUAUGGAUGCCAAUGUUGAUGUGUUGAUGUUAGAAAUAUACCUUGUAGUAGGACAGAUAUAGAUGGAACACUUGUUCCUUCAGUUUAGCAACCAAAGUGUGUGCCUUUUCCUUUCAUUUUUCUUAUAUACUUGAUAUCCAAUGUGUCAAUUCUAAUGUGCUAUAAAUUUUAUUUUAAGGAAAAAAGAUGGAAAAAGGAAGAGACGAAGACAAUGCUGAAGCACGAGAGGAAGAGAGGCUAGCGAAUCUUAAAGCAAGAAAUAGUGAGGAUUUUGCACGAUUUGGGUCUUUCAGAUUUGCAGAUGAUAAAGAAAUUCCUGGAGGCAAAGCCAGUCAAUGGCAAACUAAAAGAAAGAAGAGCACCGCAGAAAAGUCUACUGUUGAAGUAACUCGAGUUCUUAGGUCCCAAAGUACUAGAGAUGUUGAUGACAUGCCAAGUGAUAACAUUGAAGAGCACGAAGACCAUGAGUUGGAUCAAGAAACAAAGGGGAAGAAGGGGAAAACGCACUAGAAUGCACAAUGUGUAUGAUAGAUUGGGGACAGUCCCACCAAUUCGUCUGGAGUACAAUGGUGAUGGAUAACCAAUUGGGGACAAUGCGUCGGAGUUUUCAAACUUCAUCUGAACACUUGUGAAAAUUAAAAUAUCUCUUGGGCAUAAUGAUUGGAGAAAGGUUGAUGUUGAGCAAAAAAAUCAUUUGUGGAAAACCUUAAAGAUGUACUAUCUUGUGGAUGACAAACUGAAGGACUGGGUAAUGGGAAGCGUUGUGAAGAAAUGAAGGGAUUUCAAAUCGGAUUUGAAGACUUUGUAUUUUGAUGAGAAGAUGACCGAUGAGGAACUUCAAGUUGUCCCAGAUAACAGAGUUAGCCCAACUGACUGGAAAGAGCUUGUUGCUUUUUGGAAAACUGAAGCAGGGAAGCAACGUAGCGAGCAAGGAAGAAAAAAUCGAAUGGAGAUGGAAUUAUUGCAUACAUCAGGCAACAAAAGUCAUGCUCGUGUUUCUCAUGAAAUGCAUAAGAAGAAUGGAUAUCCCCCUCAGAGACAUGAACUAUUUAUUCAAACACACACGUGCAAGAAGACUGGUGCACUUUCAAGUGUGGCUGCAGCAACUAUAUUUGAAAGUAGAGGAAUGGGUAUGUGAGGUGUAUAGGUCUAGGACCAAGUGCUGCAGGUUUGGGCAUGCCGGGUAAUAGAAAGCUGAAAUCCAUGAAGCUUCAAACGGCUAAGGAAGAAGCAAAAGAAGCUUGGCAAUCAAAUGUAAUUCUUGUUGAGCAUGUAGAGAAUAAUUUCCAAACAGUAGUUACAACUCUGAAGGAUGAACUUCAACAAAUGAGGAGACUGUUACAAUCAAAAGUGCAGCAAAAUAUUUAGUUCAAUCAAGAGUACGGCUUGUCUCACUCUAGAUAUGGAUAUGGAGGUGGCCAUGGUGGUGGCUAUCGAUAUGAAGGUGCCCAUGGAAGUGGAUAUCGACAUGAAGAUGGAUAUGAAGGUGGAUAUGAAGGUGGAUAUCGGCAUAAAGAUGGAUAUGGAGGUGGACAUCGACAUAAAGAUGGAUAUGAAGGUGGAUAUGGAGGUGGUUAUGGACAUGAAGGGGGGUAUGAAAAUUAAGGGGAGUAUGAGCAUAAAGAGAGUGCAUAAUCUGCCACCCGCAGCCAUGAGGUGCGGCAAGAGAAAGAAUCAGCCAUUUUGCAUAAGAAGACUCAAGAAGCACUCUUGCAAAAGAAGUUAAUAGCAUCCACUCAGAAAAACUUUUUACUUUCUGGUACCGCUCAACAUGAGGUGCUACAAGAGAAUGAAGCAACCAUUUUGCAAAAAAGAAGGCAAUAGGGAUCACACAACAAAGUAAGGAUGUGGCACUUCAUCGCCAGAAGAUGGCAACAAGCAAGGAAGUUGAAAUCACACAAAAAAAUCAGCAGAAAGGGAAGGAUGUGAUCCUGUAUAAUGUUUAUUGAGAUCAUAGUAUCCCAGCGGCAAAAGCAACCAUUCUGUCAAUUGAUCAGAAAAAGGAGGUAGGUGGUUAGGAGCUUGGCUCUGAAUAUUGUCAGGUUGCCCUGAACUAUGUAAUAAAAAGGGAUGCUAUACUACCUUGUGGUGUUGCGAACAUGACCACCAUGGGGCAAGCUCACGGGUGAUGUAUCGCAUGGCCAUACAAGCAUUUGGAAGUGGACAAGGCCAUGGAAAAAGCGGGAAUGCGACCACAAGUAGGCUAAGGAGGUUUCACAAAGGUGCACAAGUCGAUGAAGAUUUGGAAGGUUUUCAAGCUCCUGAAGAUUUGGAAGACCUACAAUAGUUGGUGGAGUGAUUAUAUAAUAUUCUUGUUUAGUUUGUGAAACUUGGACACACUUUCUCCACUCAUUUUGCUGCUUGAUAAGCCAUCUGCUCAUUUAGGUUGUGUGGCACACCCAAAAACAUGUACUUCUCCAUUUGUUGCACUAUUUCAUUUUGUUGGUUGUGUGACACAUUUUAAAACAUAUAUGCGCUGUACCUUUUGUGGCACAACCUCCUUAUAUGUAUAUUAUGGUUGUUUUGUUUAU
Molecule: long non-coding RNA, 4208 nt
Organism: Triticum aestivum (bread wheat)
Lineage: Eukaryota; Viridiplantae; Streptophyta; Magnoliopsida; Poales; Poaceae
Exons: 10
Source: RefSeq, a predicted model, not a curated record